CUGCUCGCUUCAGCAGCACAUAUACUAAAAUUGGAAGGAUAGAGAGAAGAUUAGCAUGGCUCCUGCGCAAGGAUGACACGCAAAUUCGUGAAGUGGUCCAUAUUUUU
This 107-nucleotide small nuclear RNA is filed under the name Dryobates pubescens (Downy woodpecker). The record is from RNAcentral. Lineage: Eukaryota; Metazoa; Chordata; Aves; Piciformes; Picidae.